UUACUUACUAGGGGUCUUGCCUGCCCAGUGACAAUGUUAAACGGCCGCGGUAUUUUGACCGUGCGAAGGUAGCGCAAUCACUUGUCUUUUAAAUGAAGACCUGUAUGAAUGGUGAAACGAGGGCUUAACUGUCUCCCUUUUCUAGUCAAUGAAAUUGAUCUGCCCGUGCAGAAGCGGGCAUAAAAAUACAAGACGAGAAGACCCUUUGGAGCUUAAGAUAUAAAGAUCAUCUAUGUCAAUGGGCCCCAGCACAGCAACAAACUAAAUAGCAACUGAUCUUAAUCUUCGGUUGGGGCGACCACGGGAGAAAACAAAGCUCCCACGCGGACUGGGGUAAACCCUAAAACCAAGAAAGACACUUCUAAGUAACAGAACUUCUGACCAUUAAGAUCCGGCUACACGCCGACCAACGGACCAAGUUACCCUAGGGAUAACAGCGCAAUCCCCUUUCAGAGUCCAUAUCGACAAGGGGGUUUACGACCUCGAUGUUGGAUCAGGACAUCCUAAUGGUGCAGCCGCUAUUAAGGGUUCGUUUGUUCAACGAUUAAAGUCCUACGUGAUCUGAGUUC
RNAcentral lists this ribosomal RNA (569 nucleotides) under Glyptothorax poonaensis. RNAcentral's name for it is "partial 16S ribosomal RNA". It matches the Rfam family "Bacterial large subunit ribosomal RNA", at positions 1839 to 2612 of the family's 2925-position model. The record is from RNAcentral. Lineage: Eukaryota; Metazoa; Chordata; Actinopteri; Siluriformes; Sisoridae.